CCUCAUAUAUCCUGAGAUGUGAUGCCGAGCCGAUUGUGGCGAAGUGGAUGAUCCUAUGCUGCCGAGAAAAGCCUCUAGCGAGUUUCCAGGCGGCCCGUACCCCAAACCGACUCAGGUGGUCAGGUAGAGAAUACCAAGGCGAUCGGGUGAACUGUGGUUAAGGAACUCGGCAAAUUGCCCCCGUAACUUCGGGAGAAGGGGGGCCUUCGCUGGUGAUGAGUCUUGCACUCGGAGCUGGUGGGGGUCGCAGAGGCCAGGGGGAAGCGACUGUUUACUAAAAACACAGGUCCAUGCGAAGUCGUAAGACGAUGUAUAUGGACUGACGCCUCCCCGGUGCUGGAACGUUAAGGGGACCGGUUAGAUCACGCAAGUGGUCGAAGCUGAGAACUUAAGCGCCAGUAAACGGCGGUGGUAACUAUAACCAUCCUAAGGUAGCGAAAUUCCUUGUCGGGUAAGUUCCGACCUGCACGAAUGGCGUAACGACUUCCCCGCUGUCUCAACCGCAGACCCGGCGAAAUUGCACUACGAGUAAAGAUGCUCGUUACGCGCGGCAGGACGGAAAGACCCCGGGACCUUCACUAGCUUGACAUUGGCGUUUGGAACGUCUUGUGUAGGAUAGGUGGGAGACUAUGAAGCGCUCACGCUAGUGGGUGUGGAGUCAUUGGUGAAAUACCACUCUGGUCGUUUUGAACGUCUAACUUCGGUCCCUUAUCGGGAUCAGGGACAGUGUCUGGUGGGUAGUUUAACUGGGGCGGUUGCCUCCUAAAGAGUAACGGAGGCGCCCAAAGGUUCCCUCAGCCUGGUUGGCAAUCAGGUGUCGAGUGUAAGUGCACAAGGGAGCUUGACUGUGAGACCGACGGGUCGAGCAGGGACGAAAGUCGGGACUAGUGAUCCGGCAUCUACGUGUGGAAGUGGUGUCGCUCAACGGCUAAAAGGUACCCCGGGGAUAACAGGCUGAUCUUCCCCAAGAGUCCAUAUCGACGGGAUGGUUUGGCACCUCGAUGUCGGCUCGUCGCAUCCUGGGGCUGGAGUAGGUCCCAAGGGUUGGGCUGUUCGCCCAUUAAAGCGGUACGCGAGCUGGGUUUAGAACGUCGCGAGACAGUUCGGUCCCUAUCCGCUGCGCGCGCAGGAGACUUGAGAAGGGGCUGUCCCUAGUACGAGAGGACCGGGACGGACGAACCUCUGGUGUGCCAGUUGUUCCGCCAGGAGCAUGGCUGGUUGGCUACGUUCGGAAGGGAUAACCGCUGAAAGCAUCUAAGCGGGAAGCUCGCCUUGAGAUGAGGUCUCCCACCCCGUGAGGGGGUAAGGCUCCCAGUAGACGACUGGGUUGAUAGGCCGGGUGUGGAAGCACUGUAAGGUGUGGAGCUGACCGGUACUAAUAGGCCGAGGACUUGAUC
RNAcentral lists this ribosomal RNA (1397 nucleotides) under metagenome. RNAcentral describes it as "bacterial LSU rRNA". It matches the Rfam family "Bacterial large subunit ribosomal RNA", at positions 1545 to 2925 of the family's 2925-position model. The record is from RNAcentral.